Molecule: ribosomal RNA, 407 nt
Filed under: uncultured bacterium
Lineage: Bacteria
Description: partial 16S ribosomal RNA
Rfam family: Bacterial small subunit ribosomal RNA
Source: RNAcentral
AUUGAACGCUGGCGGCAGGCCUAACACAUGCAAGUCGAGCGGAGCGGCGGACGGGUGAGUAAUGCCUAGGAAUCUGCCUGGUAGUGGGGGAUAACGUCCGGAAACGGGCGCUAAUACCGCAUACUAUCAGAUGAGCCUAGGUCGGAUUAGCUAGUUGGUGGGGUAAAGGCCUACCAAGGCGACGAUCCGUAACUGGUCUGAGAGGAUGAUCAGUCACACUGGAACUGAGACCCGGUCCAGACUCCUACGGGAGGCAGCAGUGGGGAAUAUUGGACAAUGGGCGAAAGCCUGCUCCAGCCAUGCCGCGUGUGUGAAGAAGGCCUUCGGGUUGUAAAGUACUUUCAGCUAGGAGGCGUUACUCGCAGAAUAAGCACCGGCUAACUCCGUGCCAGCCGCCGCGGUAAUAC